UACGUAGGGUGCGAGCGUUGUCCGGAAUUAUUGGGCGUAAAGAGCUCGUAGGCGGCUUGUCGCGUCGGAUGUGAAAGCCCGGGGCUUAACUCCGGGUCUGCAUUCGAUACGGGCAGGCUAGAGUUCGGUAGGGGAGAUCGGAAUUCCUGGUGUAGCGGUGAAAUGCGCAGAUAUCAGGAGGAACACCGGUGGCGAAGGCGGGUCUCUGGGCCGUAACUGACGCUGAGGAGCGAAAGCAUGGGGAGCGAACAGG
RNAcentral lists this ribosomal RNA (253 nucleotides) under uncultured bacterium. Its description in RNAcentral is "partial 16S ribosomal RNA". It matches the Rfam family "Bacterial small subunit ribosomal RNA", at positions 524 to 776 of the family's 1533-position model. The record is from RNAcentral.